This 759-nucleotide ribosomal RNA is filed under the name Triticum aestivum (bread wheat). RNAcentral's name for it is "partial small subunit ribosomal RNA". Lineage: Eukaryota; Viridiplantae; Streptophyta; Magnoliopsida; Poales; Poaceae. The record is from RNAcentral.
AUGGUGGUGGUGGAUCGCCUCACCAAAUUUGCACAUUUUGUGCCACUCCGGCAUCCCUUCACCGCAGCGCAGGUAGCUCGCGCAUUCUGGGAUUCCAUCAUCAAGCUUCAUGGGGUGCCACACUUCAUCGUCUCCGACUGCGACAAGAUCUUCACAAGUGCGAUGUGGCGGGAACUCCUUGCCGCAGCCGGCACCAAGCUCCUCUACUCCGCCGCCUACCACCCACGAACGGACGGACAAAGCGAGCACGUCAAUCAAUGCCUCGAGAUGUAUCUACGUUGUGCUGUCCAAGAUCGUCCAAAGCAAUGGCAGAAGUGGCUACCUGCUGCAAAAUUUUGGUACAACUCCACUCAUCACAGCUCUCUCAUGUGUUCUCCAUUCAAGGCACUCUACGGCCACGAGCCAAAUCUGGGAGGAUUGCCGGUUUUCCUUGACAAUAUCUCAUCAGACAUGGCCACCAGCGACUUCGACUGGGCAGCACAUACAGAAAUGCUGCAGGGCCACCUCACCCGAGCACAAGACCGCUUCAAGAAACAAGCAGACAAGCAGCGCACUGAGUGCGCCUUCACCGUCGGCGACCAAGUCCUCCUCAAGCUCCAACCUUAUGUGCAGGUAUCCGUCGCCAGCUGCCCAUGUCGGAAGCUUGCUUACAAGUACUUUGGCCGUUCACCAUCCUGGAGCGUUUCGGUGCCGUGGCGUACCGCUUGGAGCUGCCGCUGGAUAGCCGCGUCCAUCCGGUCUUCCAUGUCUCCCAGUUGA